UUCUCAGGUACAGAAAGCCACAGCCAGGAAGAUGCUCCCAAUAGAAGAGUGCAAACAUCUCUGCGGUGGCCAAUAUGGAUGACAGUUUUUGUGAGCACAUACCAAUAUGUGUAUAUAAUAGGUUCUGCAAUAGGGGUACCAAGACCAAGGAUAUAUACGAUUUAAAACAUGAUAGUUCUUGGCAAGUUGUCUCCCACCAAGGAAACACAGCUGUUAAAGAGAAGUCGCAGCAAAGCCGUCAUCAGCACUUGAGGGUCCUGCAGAACUUUGGGAAGUCAAUUUACAGAAAGGAUGACUUGAGCUGGCAAUGCCUCGCACAGCAACAUGGACCUACAAAUAAGGACCCAGGAGCAAGAAAUGGAUCGUUCAUCCCAAACCAGGCGUUACAGUGAUUAGAUCACUGUAUCCACAUGGAAAAGCAUCAGAUGGGAUCAGACCCGUUCCUACAGCCUGAAACUACACAGUCCAAAUCUUGAGUGUAUAGAUGUAGUCAAGGUUUAGUAGAUAUUUCCAUAAUCUGAAAGUUCCCAGUGAAAGAUCUUCUCCUUUAUUGCUAAACAUUAACUCUUGGGUGGAAGAGUAGACAAAUACACAGU
RNAcentral lists this long non-coding RNA (596 nucleotides) under Mus spicilegus (steppe mouse). RNAcentral describes it as "lncRNA (ENSMSIG00000023457.1)". The record is from RNAcentral. Lineage: Eukaryota; Metazoa; Chordata; Mammalia; Rodentia; Muridae.